AUGAUUGAUUGGAAGGAGAUUCAGAAGGUUCCUACUACCAAGUGACCAUCUUGGCUCUGCCCCUUGAAUGACUCAGAAAAGUUCUUUCUAACAAAUCCUCUCAGGACUGAAAAUUUAGGCUUGUAUUUUCAUGAUGGAGGAAUAAGGAUUGCUCUGAGCCCACCCAGACCCCACCUCCAAACAACUACACAAAACAAAUUAAAAGCUUCAAAACAAAUUUUGGAGGAGCAGAACCAACAAAAGGCAGAGAGAAGUGGGAAUUCAGCCAAAGAAAAUGUAGAGGACUCCAGGAAGGACCUGUCUUGCUGGGGAGUUUAUACAAAUUGAAGAUGGAAUACAACAAAAGGAAGGUGAAAAGGAAGAAGAUACUUAAUAUGGGGGCAUGAUGGAGAAGUUCAGAGCAUGCUAAAGAGUGUAAGCAGGUGGGAGAAGAAGAGAUGACUGUCCCAGAUCUCCUCAUAAAUGAAGGUUUUGGAGGUCAUGGCUCUACCCUGUAAUAAAAAUGAUACUUGG
Molecule: long non-coding RNA, 513 nt
Filed under: Monodelphis domestica (gray short-tailed opossum)
Lineage: Eukaryota; Metazoa; Chordata; Mammalia; Didelphimorphia; Didelphidae
Description: lncRNA (ENSMODG00000038454.1)
Source: RNAcentral